GUGACUUAGUGGUAAAGCACUUGCCUUGCAUGCAUGAGGCCCUGAGUUCAAUUCCUCAGC
RNAcentral lists this transfer RNA (60 nucleotides) under Dipodomys ordii (Ord's kangaroo rat). It matches the Rfam family "tRNA", at positions 7 to 64 of the family's 71-position model. Rfam says of the family: Transfer RNA (tRNA) molecules are approximately 80 nucleotides in length. Lineage: Eukaryota; Metazoa; Chordata; Mammalia; Rodentia; Heteromyidae. The record is from Rfam by way of RNAcentral.